AGCAGCCGCGGUAAUUCCAGCUCCAAUAGCGUAUAUUAAAGUUGUUGCAGUUAAAAAGCUCGUAGUUGAAUUUCGGGAUCAAUUUAUCGGUCGUGCCAACGGUAUGAACUGGUACAAUUGGUUUCUCCCUUCUGAUGAAGCUCGAUGUCAUUAACUUGGUGUCGGGGGGAAUCAGGACUGUUACUUUGAAAAAAUUAGAGUGUUUAAAGCAGGCCUUGGCUUGAAUACAUUAGCAUGGAAUAAUGAAAUAGGACGUUUGAUCCUAUUUCGUUGGUUUCUAGGAUCGACGUAAUGAUUAAUAGGGAUAGUUGGGGGCAUUAGUAUUCAAUUGUCAGAGGUGAAAUUCUUGGAUUUAUUGAAGACUAACUACUGCGAAAGCAUUUGCCAAGGAUGUUUUCAUUAAUCAAGAACGAAAGUUAGGGGAUCGAAGACGAUCAGAUACCGUCGUAGUCUUAACCAUAAACUAUGCCGACUAGGGAUCGGAUGAUGUUAAUUUUUUAAUGACUCA
This 508-nucleotide ribosomal RNA is filed under the name Glomus sp. Glo20. RNAcentral's name for it is "SSU rRNA". It matches the Rfam family "Eukaryotic small subunit ribosomal RNA", at positions 569 to 1078 of the family's 1831-position model. Lineage: Eukaryota; Fungi; Glomeromycota; Glomeromycetes; Glomerales; Glomeraceae. The record is from RNAcentral.